UACGUAGGUGGCAAGCGUUGUCCGGAUUUAUUGGGCUUAAAGGGUGCGUAGGCGGCCCUGUAAGUCAGUGCUGAAAUAUCCCAGCUUAACUGGGAGGGUGGCAUUGAUACUGCGGGGCUAGAGUACAGAUGAGGUAGGCGGAAUUGACGGUGUAGCGGUGAAAUGCUUAGAUAUGACACAGAACACCGAUUGCGAAGGCAGCUCACAAAACUAUAACUGACGCUGAGGCACGAAAGCGUGGGGAUCAAACAGG
Molecule: ribosomal RNA, 253 nt
Filed under: uncultured bacterium
Lineage: Bacteria
Description: partial 16S ribosomal RNA
Rfam family: Bacterial small subunit ribosomal RNA
Source: RNAcentral